GUCGAGAAUCUUCCGCAAUGCGCGAAAGCGUGACGGAGCGACACCGCGUGAUGGAUGAAGUCCUUCGGGGCGUAAAGAUCUUUUAUAAAGGAGGAAAUUUUUGACGUUACUUUAUGAAUAAGGGGCUCCCAAUCUCGUGCCAGCAGGAGCGGUAAUACGAGAGCCUCAAGCGUUAUCCGGAAUCAUUGGGCGUAAAGGGUGCGUAGGUGGUUUGAUUAGUCUCCCGUUAAAACUUCGAGCUUAACUCGAAAAGAGCGGGGGAAACGGUCAAACUAGAGUAUGUGAGAGGUGUGUGGAACUCAUGGUGUAGGGGUGAAAUCCGUUGAUAUCAUGGGGAACACCAAAAGCGAAGGCAGCACACUGGCACAUCACUGACACUGAGGCACGAAACCUAAGGUAGCGAAUGGGAUUAGAAACCCUGGUAGUCC
This 428-nucleotide ribosomal RNA is filed under the name uncultured bacterium. RNAcentral describes it as "partial 16S ribosomal RNA". It matches the Rfam family "Bacterial small subunit ribosomal RNA", at positions 354 to 796 of the family's 1533-position model. The record is from RNAcentral.